Molecule: ribosomal RNA, 238 nt
Filed under: uncultured bacterium
Lineage: Bacteria
Description: partial 16S ribosomal RNA
Rfam family: Bacterial small subunit ribosomal RNA
Source: RNAcentral
UCGCCUACGGGGGGCAGCAGUGGGGAAUAUUGCACAAUGGGCGAAAGCCUGAUGCAGCAACGCCGCGUGAAGGAAGAAGGGUUUCGGCUCGUAAACUUCUAUCAACAGGGACGAAAGAAAUGACGGUACCUGAAUAAGAAGCCCCGGCUAACUACGUGCCAGCAGCCGCGGAAAUACGUAGGUGGCAAGCGUUAUCCGGAUUUACUGGUUGUAAAGGGCGUGUAGGCGGGGAAGCAAG